RNAcentral lists this long non-coding RNA (1837 nucleotides) under Theobroma cacao (cacao). RNAcentral describes it as "long non-coding RNA (TCAC_LNC003624)". Lineage: Eukaryota; Viridiplantae; Streptophyta; Magnoliopsida; Malvales; Malvaceae. The record is from RNAcentral.
UGAGAACAAAAUAAAUUCAUACACAUAGUAAUACAGUAAACCAGGUAUUCAAAAUUAUCCUACAGUGGCAUAUGGACCCCGAGAUAACCAAAAGUGUGCAAGAAUGUAGACCUACGAUUUCCAAGGAAGUAAGUCCAAAAGAAAUCCUUGAUGAAAUCGACUGCCUACAGAUUAUCUUGAACCUGAAAUGGUUAAAAAAGAAAGGGUGAGUUUUCAUAAACUCAGUGAGUAAACAAAGUCCGUCAUUAACAUCUAAAGCCGAGUAAAUGGAGACAGUUAACUUUUCAUCAUACCAUAAUCCACAACAUUUUGUACUUGUUUCAAAUCAUAUAAAACAACACAUUUCAUUAUAAUACACAUCACGACUUAUGAUUUUCUUAAAAACUUGGCUCGUGCCAAAAAUCAUACUCGGUGAUACCUUGGCCGAGGCAUUCAACCGAGUCCGCCAAGGUUAUUAAGUUAACAACUACUCAUAAAAACAUAGUUUAGCCAUCCCUUGGCGUUGGCAGAGUUCAUCCUCAAGUGGUGGUUCGGCGUGAAGUGAACUCUAUCGUACCUUAGGAGAUAUCCUUCGCGCCUCUCAUACUAAGGUAAAUAUAACGGGGUUUACCGUGCCCCUCUAAUAGGCUGGUCCACGGAAACCCGCCUACUGCAGUGGCUAAUUAAAUAACCCACCAAUCAAUAAAAUUUUGACAGCAUAACGUGGCUAACAUAAUACUACCCAGCCUGUCAAAGGAAAACAACAGUUUAUAUAUUUCACAACUCAAAAACCCAGCCACAUAUGUCAUCACGUAUCAGUUCAUAAAUCAUCAAUUCCAAACGUAGGUACGUAAACUUAAAUAUAUAGGCAACAUCAAAGGUUGGUCUCCACAUACUCACAUUUUCAAAAACAUUAUUGAAUUGUAAAAUAAGUCAUAAACCUUAUUCCUUAAAUCGAUUAUUAGUCAUAAAACAUAAAAUUCAUUUAGGUUCAAUAUUCUUAAAAUCAUAAAAACGAUUGUAAAAAUACUCUAGAUAGAUAAGAUGAACAGUGGUUACUCACUUUGACGGGAAUUUACAACACUCUUAGUCUUGAUCCUCGGGUGCAAUACCUUUGCCCUUAUCCGAGGGCUCACCACCUAUACAUAAUGUGCAACAGGAAAUUUAAUAUACUUAUGCUAAAUUGUCACAAAACUAUUCUAUGUUCUAUAUGAAUGCAUGCAAUGAAAUGGGAGGUGUUCGGCCUAUCGCGCACUAUACACUAUUUAAUCGAUCUAAAUGUCCAAUUCGAUUCCAAUUAAUUUAUUGCACUUCCAGUACUCCCCAAAAUUCCACACACUUCAAUAAAAAUCUAUUCUAAGUGCAAUUACCAAAAUAUCCCUCAUUAUUGUGCAAAUUGCUAACUAACGGGAGUAAAAUUUUUCGGUACCCGUUUUCGAUUUUCGGUAUUCCUAAGCACCAAAUACAAUCUAAAGGGCAUGCAAAACAACCAAAUUCAUCAUCAAACCUCACCCAUAAAAUUCGGCCAAGAUAGGUUCUAUAAUGGGCAUGUGGAUUUCUUGCUUAAUUUUCAUACUAAAUGUUACUAAACACCUAAAAACACUAAGUUACCUUGAAAUUCAACUAAAUUCAUCACCAACUUUCUCUCUCUAAAUCUGGCCAGCAUAUUGCCCCUCAUGAAAACUUGAAUUUAAUUCAUGGAAAAUGGAAAAGAAUGCAUGGGCAAGAUGAAUUUCAAGCUUAAUAUUAAAAAUCUUACCUUUAGUCAUCAAUUUCUUGAAAAUUCAAUAAUUUUUCCUUAGUUUUUCCUCCCUAGGGUUUUUCUUUUCUUUUCUUCUCUUUUCUGCAGGUGCUGGUC